CCCAAAUCAAUCACCGAAGUAUCAGAUCCUACAGCUAGCCGCCGAGCCUGGCAACCUAGCACCCCGAAUAGAAACCCGCCUCCGUCUCUCUCUCUAUCUCUUGCCACUUCUUCCCCCGUCCCCUUCCCUCGCAACUCGCGAUUCCCAAAUCCCGAUGCGCCCUCGCGCCUAGCCCCCUCCGCCGCCGCCGCCAACAUCACCUCCCCUGUCACGGGACGCCCCCCCCCCUCCCCCUCCACCGCGUCCUAUGACGUCGCCGACCUCGCACCACCCGGACUCCUCCACCCCGCACGCCGGGAUCGGCAACGGCAACGGCGGCAACCACCACCUCCACCCGCCGACUCUGACCCCGGCGCCCGCGAGCACCCCGGCCGCUCCCCCCGCGCAUGCGCACGGGGGCCCGCAGGUGCGUCUCAUGUGCAGCUUCGGCGGCCGCAUCCUGCCGCGCCCGGGGGACCGCCAGCUGCGCUACGUCGGCGGGGAGACCCGCAUCGUGUCCUUCCCGCGCGCCGCGGCCUCCUUCGCCGCCCUCGUCGCCGCGCUCGCCAAGGCCGCGCCCGCGCUCUUCGCCCCCGGGGCGCCCAGGCCGUCCCUCAAGUACCAGCUGCCCCAGGACGACCUCGACUCCCUCAUCUCCGUCACCUCCGACGACGACGUCGACCACCUCGUCGACGAGCUCGACCGCAUCCACGACCUCUCCGCCAACGUCGCCCGGCCGCCCCGCCUCCGCGUCUUCCUCUUCGCGCCCGCGCCCGCGCCCGACGCCGCCUUCGGCUCCGUCCUCUCCGGCACCGCCGGCGACGCCGCCCCCAGCGACCAGUGGUUCGUCGACGCGCUCAACGCCCCCGCGCCGCACCCCAUCGAGCGCGUCCGAUCCGAGUCCUCCUCGAUCGUCUCCGACGUCCCCGACUACCUCUUCAGCCUCGACAGCCCGUCCGACGACCCCAGCCCCGGCCCCUCGGCGGCUCGCGCCAAGUCCGACGCCACGGAGACUCCGCACCACCACGGCGACGACGUGCCGCCUUCCGCUCGACAGAUACCGCACGUCGCAGGAGGAGCGUCAUCGUGGCCCGCCCCGCCGCCGCCGUACAUGGCGCAGCCUAUGUACUACUUCCCCGUGCCGCCACCGGUCCACUAUCUCGACCAGUCUGCGCAGAGUGGCUACAUGCCUCGCCCGAUCUACCACAUUGUCGGUGGCGGAGGAAGCGAGGCGCCUGGCGGAGAUCUUCACGCGGCCGGCGGAGUCUACGGCGUCUCGCACCACAUGCAGGGGUUCCCGCCGAUGAUGUACGCGCCGCCGCGCGCGGUCAUCUACAACUACAAGUCGGAGGGGAUGCCAUCGCUGCCUCCGGAAGAUGGAGGGGUUGAUGGUGAUGGAUAGAUAUUAAUGCAGCUUUCGUCUAGUGGAAAUAUAUUCGUGAAAUGUAUAUCAUACUAAAUAGUAUAGUAUUUGGUGUGAUUAAUUAGUAUUCUAGUUAAUGUAAUGUGGGAUUCAUAUAAUCUAGGUGGUUCUGGUCUUAUAGAAACCAUUUUUGGGCAUUUUAUAUUUACAUAAACUGGAUGUUGGGUGAAUGUUCUAAGCAGUAUGUGCUGUGUUGAACCUCAAUCACUUAUGAGUGGUUUACUAAAUUUGAAUUUGCUGUUCUUUGCUUGAGUGCUGUAUUGACUGAACGAAUUCUCUCUAGAUUUGAUAAAAGAGAUCAUGUUUAGCCUGUUUACUUCUUAGUUAGUUUGAUGAGUUCAUUUGUUUUAUGUCUGUAUUGAGUUUGUAUGAUGUGGUCCUUCUCAGAUUCUGCUGCUGUUCAGUCCUCCUGAGGAUCCUGUACUUGGAACAACAUGUAAAGCAUCUACUUCGGUUCUGAUGAACAUAUGCAUGCUAGUACUAGUAGAUAGAUCAUAAAACAUAUACACAUACUCAGAUGUAAGAAAUCAUCAUGUGUACAUCAAAAUAAAUUCAUUUAUAUAAUAAGUGAUCUUUUAGCAAUGUAAUUAUUUAUUUUCGUCAUUAACUAUUACAUGAAACGUCGUCACAUGCAAGUUUAAUGUGUCCCCAUGGAAAACGGGGAUGAGAACGGGGGACCCAUCUCCGUCUCUGGAGAAGAAUUUUUCUCUUUUUACAUUCCCAUGAGGAGGAAAUGUCUCCGUCCCCAUUUUUUAAUAGAAGAAUUCCCUGCGGGGAAUCGAAAAUGGUUUCCCAUGAGGAGGAAUUUUUACAUUCCCAUGAGGAGGAAUUUUUCUCUUUUUACAUUCCCAUGAGGAGGAAAUGUCCCCGUCCCCAUCUACAUCUGUAGAUACAAACAU
RNAcentral lists this unclassified non-coding RNA (2301 nucleotides) under Zea mays. RNAcentral's name for it is "misc RNA Zm00001eb106690". The record is from RNAcentral. Lineage: Eukaryota; Viridiplantae; Streptophyta; Magnoliopsida; Poales; Poaceae.